RNAcentral lists this long non-coding RNA (1286 nucleotides) under Pan troglodytes (chimpanzee). RNAcentral's name for it is "long non-coding RNA NONPTRT009228". Lineage: Eukaryota; Metazoa; Chordata; Mammalia; Primates; Hominidae. The record is from RNAcentral.
AAAGCAGGAUGUUUUUGGUAGAACACUAGUAGCGCCAGAGGAUGUUAAUAGGAGUUACAUGAAAAAAGUCUUCUAUAGUCAUAUACGUAAUAUAUUUAUUUUUUAGUUUAUCUUUUUUGAGAUAGGGUCUCAGUAUGCUCCCUAGGCUGGUCUCAAACUCCUGGGUUCAAACAAUCCUCCCGCCUCAGCCUCCCUAAGCAUGUUCUUUUUUAUUUUUUUUUCCUUUUUCUUGCAAGAAUUACAAGGGGUCAGGUACAGUGGUUCAUGCCUGAAUCCCAGCACUUUGGGAGGCCAAGAUGGAAGGAUGGCUUGAGCCCAGGAGUUUGAGAGUAGCCUGGACAACACAGUGAGACUUCAUCUCAAAACAUUAAAAAAUUAGCUGGGUGUGGUGGCUCCCACCUGUAGUCCCAGCAACUCAGGAGGCUGAGGUGGGAGGAUCGCCUAAGCCCAGGAGGUUGAGGCUGCAGUGAACUGUGAUUGCACCACUGCACGAUCACAGAUCACUGCACUCUAGCCUGGGCUGUCCAGACAGCACUUGACUGCAGGAGUUAACUGAGCCUUUGCUAUGCUAAUCUGAGCUGUGAGUUGACAAGACAAGAAUAAUGAAUGCAGCAGUUCCCAAAGUGGUUUCCUUGCCUCCACCGCUUACCUUCCAACCCGCCAUCCACAACGCUGGUGGAGUUUUCACUCUUAAACCAAGUUUGAUCCUGUAUUUCCCUUGGAGGGAAGCAUCUGAUGGCUCCCACUGCCUAUGCUGUCCAGUUUCAAGCUCUCAGCCUAAACCGUCCAAUAUCUGGACCUUGUCAUUUUUGCUUUCUCUCUGGCCAGCCUAACUUCCCUCCCCUCCCCCAACUCACUAAAUACCCAAUUUUCCAGCUGCACCGAACAGGACUGAUGAUUCACUCCUCCCCAGUGGUACUCACCAUUUGCUGAGACUCUACUGUGUGCCAGGUACUAUGCAUAAAUUGACUUUAAUCCCCACAAUGAGUCUUAGAAACAGGCAUCAUUACCCCCACUGGAUAUAUUAGUAAAAGGAGGCUCCUCUUGACAUGCCCAAAGUCACAACUAGGAAGUGGCAGGGCUAAGAUUUGAACCAAGAUGUAUCUGCUACAAAGCCCAUGCAAUUUUCACUACACCACACUCACCUCCUCACUUUCACACACGCUGUUUUUGUUUUGUUUUGUUUUGUUUUUGAGAUGGAGUCUCGCUCUGUCGCCCAGGCUGGAGUGCAGUGGCACAAUCUCAGCUCACUGCAGGCUCUGCCUCCGGGGUUCACGCCUUUCUCC